Molecule: ribosomal RNA, 98 nt
Filed under: Randia aristeguietae
Lineage: Eukaryota; Viridiplantae; Streptophyta; Magnoliopsida; Gentianales; Rubiaceae
Also listed under: 5 other names
Description: partial 5.8S ribosomal RNA
Rfam family: 5.8S ribosomal RNA
About the family: 5.8S ribosomal RNA (5.8S rRNA) is a component of the large subunit of the eukaryotic ribosome. It is transcribed by RNA polymerase I as part of the 45S precursor that also contains 18S and 28S rRNA. Functionally, it is thought that 5.8S rRNA may be involved in ribosome translocation.
Source: RNAcentral
UUGGUGUGAAUUGCAGAAUCCCGCGAACCAUCGAGUCUUUGAACGCAAGUUGCGCCCGAAGCCAUCAGGCCGAGGGCACGUCUGCCUGGGCGUCACGC